UCCUAUGGCCAUACUACCCUGAACAAGCCCAAUCCCAUCUGAUCUCAGAAGUUAAGCAGGGUUGGGCCUGGUUAGUACUUGGAUGGGAGAUCACCUAGGAAAACCGGGUGCUGUAGGCA
Pteropus vampyrus (large flying fox) is the source of this 119-nucleotide ribosomal RNA. The record is from Ensembl. NCBI's taxonomy places the organism in Eukaryota, Metazoa, Chordata, Mammalia, Chiroptera, Pteropodidae.